Molecule: ribosomal RNA, 428 nt
Filed under: uncultured bacterium
Lineage: Bacteria
Description: partial 16S ribosomal RNA
Rfam family: Bacterial small subunit ribosomal RNA
Source: RNAcentral
CCUACGGGAGGCAGCAGUGGGGAAUAUUGGACAAUGGGCGCAACCUGAUCCAGCCAUGCCGCGUGAGUGAUGAAGGCCUUAGGGUUGUAAAGCUCUUUCAGUAGGGAAGCGGUACCUACAGAAGAAGCCCCGGCUAACUUCGUGCCAGCAGCCGCGGUAAUACGAAGGGGGCUAGCGUUGUUCGGAUUUACUGGGCGUAAAGCGCACGUAGGCGGAUUGUUAAGUCAGAGGUGAAAUCCUGGAGCUCAACUCCGAACUGCCUUUGAUACUGGCAAUCUAGAGUCCGGAAGAGGUGAGUGGAACUCCUAGUGUAGAGGUGGAAUUCGUAGAUAUUAGGAAGAACACCAGUGGCGAAGGCGGCUCACUGGUCGGACUGACGCUGAGGUGCGAAACGUGGGGAGCAAACAGGAUUAGAUACCCUUGUAGUC